Molecule: ribosomal RNA, 253 nt
Filed under: uncultured bacterium
Lineage: Bacteria
Description: partial 16S ribosomal RNA
Rfam family: Bacterial small subunit ribosomal RNA
Source: RNAcentral
UACAGAGGUCUCGAGCGUUAGGCGGAAUCACUGGGCUUAAAGCGUGUGUAGGUGGAUCGUUAAGUACCUUGUGAAAUCCCACGGCUUAACCGUGGAACUGCUUGGUAUACUGGCGGUCUUGAGUCAGCUAGGGGCUACCGGAACAAAUGGUGGAGCGGUGAAAUGCGUAGAUAUCAGGAGGAACACCGGUGGCGAAGGCGGUUCUCUGGGCCUGUACUGACGCUGAGGAACGAAAGCGUGGGGAGCAAACAGG